UGUGGACAAGGACAGACCAUUUUCCAAGUGUGUGAAAUGUUUUGAAGCAGCUUUCUAAUGAAAGAAUGAGCCUAGCAUUCUUAAAAAGUCGUUUGGAAGCAAAAUAUGAAAACCGAACAAGCUGUGUGGAUUAAAAAAAGCAACAAAAGCAACAAGCAAAAGAUUCACUUCGCGAUAACCUGCUUAACAUCUCUGGAGGUACUCGAGGCAAAUAAUUUAGGUUGAAGUGGGUCAGCUGAUGAAAAAGUUCAGGAACCCUGGCUUUAAAUAUAUAACUGUCUGAAAGUGUUCAGCAAUUUCACCUUCAUUAAUGUUCAUGUGCCCCCUUUGAAGCCUUCAUACCACCAGGCUUGCAGUCACUGGGGGUCAAAAUAAGAAUUUAUCUGACGAACAUUAAUCCUUCUGGUCAACUGUAAUUAAUUUUCAGCCCCGUAGCUGCCUUGUAAACACAAUGAAAAAGCACUGCUGCCGUCUUGUUAAAGCCAUCAAUGCAAUUUUAUUACAGUUUCAUUCCUUCAUCCUCCUUGUUGAAAUUGUGCUUUCAUAUGAGUUUAUAAACGGAACACACAAAACAACUGAAGGGAAGUGAGGAAAAGUAGCCUGCCUGCUGAGUCAUGACCUCUGGGCUAACCUCUGUCUGUUCAGCAUCUUUUCUUAGCAUCACGUACAAUUAGCAUCCCAUACAUCUUUUCUUAGCAUCACAUGUAAUUAGCAUCCCAUACAUCUUUUCUUAGCAUCACAUGCAAUUAGCAUCACAUCUUUUCUUAGCAUCACGUACAAAUAGCAUCCCAUGCAUCUUUUCUUAGCAUCACAUACAAUUAAUAUCCUAUACAUCUUUUCUUAACAUCACAUACAAUUAGCAUCAUGUACAAUUAGCAUUAUGUACAUCUUUUCUUAGCAUCACAUACAAUUAUCAUCACAUACAAUUUGCAUCACAUACAUCUUUUUCUUAGCAUCACAUACAAUUAGCAUCACGUACAAUUAGCAUUAUAUACAUCUUUUCUUAGCAUCACAUACAAUUAGCAUCACAUCUUUUCUUAGCACCACAUACAAUUAUCAUCACAUACAAUUUGCAUCACAUACAUCUUUUUCUUAGCAUCACAUACAAUUAGCAUCACGUACAAUUAGCA
This is a long non-coding RNA of Ictalurus punctatus (channel catfish), 1130 nucleotides long. The record is from Ensembl. NCBI's taxonomy places the organism in Eukaryota, Metazoa, Chordata, Actinopteri, Siluriformes, Ictaluridae.